GAUACAAACACAUACAUACACCCACACACACAGACGCAUAGAGAUACACACACAUACACAGAGAUACACACCCACUGUACUGUGUUCUAUUCCAAAGCUAUAAGAACCACAAGUUAGUACAGUGCUGUUUAAUCACACAUCUGACCGGUCAGAAGUUUCUAGAACAGCAGUUCUAAGAGCAGGGUCAUCUCUAAUACACAUUCAUAUCAACACACACCUACUAAUACUGUUGUUUGUGUAAUUCACACCCAGUGACCACAGCGAGGUGUUUAUUUAACAGUUACAGAAGGAGUCUCCAGGGUUAGAGCUUCAUAACAGUCAGAAAGUUCCACCAUCCAGGAUACAGCAGGUGCUCACGAUCUCCAGACGAUAAGAUGGACGCAAUUCUGUUGCACAACUCGGGAAAUUUACUCAGAGUGGAUUCCUUACAUGAUAAACGUCUGUGUGAAACCUCUGGUGACGUCGGUUAGCAACAAUGUAAAGGACAAAGUCAGACAGCAGUGAAUGUUGCCGUCUCUUCGGUUUCUGACUGAACAGCCAGCGUGAAAGCAGCAUGCACGAUGCCACAGGGUGAAGUUUCCCUGCCUUCUGCUUAUACCCGCGUUAUCUGCUUUCUGCAUCACAACCGAAACAACAGCACUGCCUUUACACAGCUCAUCACUUCCAAGGCCGGGACAGAUAAACUGUUGAAUCACAAAUCAUCACGAGUAUUACGUUCCAGGCUGCUGAUUCAUAUAUAUAUGUAUAGAGAGAGAGAAUAAAACGAGUCAUGACUGCAGCUCAGAGUUGUAAAAAAUAAAAAUGAUUUGAUCCUAUUUAGUGAAACACAUUUGGGCGCCUCAUAAAAACCUCAAUCUUCCUCCCCAGCCUUCUUCUCAUCCUCGCCCUCGUUGUGGGCAC
Molecule: long non-coding RNA, 900 nt
Organism: Hemibagrus wyckioides
Lineage: Eukaryota; Metazoa; Chordata; Actinopteri; Siluriformes; Bagridae
Exons: 3
Source: RefSeq, a predicted model, not a curated record